UGAGAUUUACAAUUUAUUGAAAGAACAACUGAAAAUCAAUUUAGGUUGCAUAUGUGUCAUGUGUGGAGAAAAACCCUCUAGCUAGUCCGUCAUUUAUCAUUUCACCUUAAUUUCAUGUUUUUGUCAAUUCUGUAAUUUAAUUAAGUUUAAUUUACUUUUCAUCAAAACCAAACACCCAUCCAUUAUUAAAUUAUAUUUUUUAGUUAGUUUUCUUUAUUGUUAGUCUUUUAAUUUAAUUUCCGUCCAUUUCAGUUCCUAGUGUUUAAUUUAAUUGUUUUCAUUAUUUUGAGUCAUUUUAAGUGUGUUUCGAGUUAUUAGAGUUUUUAGCCUAAUUUUGUGUCCUUGAGUCUUAUUUAAUAUUUUUAAAUUAAUUUAGAAUAGAUUAGCAAUCCCUCCUAAUCCCCGGCCUAGAACGAUACCCUACUUACAUCUAUACUACAAUUGUCAAAAAGAGGGUUUAAUUUGUGUGUUAACUUAUUUUUCACAUCAAAUUUUGGCGCCGUUGCCGGGGAUAUGAGAGAAGCAGCAAAACUGCAAGCUGCACAGAAAAAUAUAAGAGAUGGACAGCGCAGGGAGAGACUGGCGGGGAAGCACAGCAAUACAAAAGAAAAGCUCCAGAGAGCAAGGCAGCAAGAAAAUUAGAGGCUUCACUCCAUUUCUCUCGGUUAAAUCUUUCCAAACUUAUAUUUUAUUUCUGUUUUAAUAAUGUGUAACUAAUUUUAUUUUGGCUAGAGGUUAUUUCAAAACCAUGAAUAUAUUUGUAAUAUGAAUUGAUUACCUUCGGUUGUGAUUUCAUAAGUUGUGAAUUCAAUUUACUUAUCCGUUUGUAUAAAAACUGAUUUGUGUAUGUUGGUUGAGAGUGCACGCUUAAUUUACAUGCAUGAAUUUGAUGCUAGAAUAUAAGUGAAUUUCACCUAAUCGUUAUGAACUUAUAUUCACAAGUAGUAAAGGUUGCUAGUCACAAUCACGUUAAGUAAAUUCUUGGCAUAAGUUUCAUGCAAAUCAUAGUAACGAGUGCCUCGUCAAUGCUUAUGUUUUUCAUAGAACUUAAUGAUUCUUGCUUGUAUCUCUAUUAUGCAAUUCAUGUAGAGAACUUGUAGGGAAUGUUUUGGGUUGUCGUAUGCAAUCAUCCAACCCAAUAACUUGUGGAAAAAACUGAGGGUUAAUUAGUGCAAUUCACGGUUAAUUUGGGGCGUUGAGAUUUUACAAUUUUAUUGAAAGAACAACUGAAAAUCAAUUUAGGUUGCAUAUGUGUCAUGUGUGGAGAAAAACCCUCUAGCUAGUCCGUCAUUUAUCAUUUCACCUUAAUUUCAUGUUUUUGUCAAUUCUGUAAUUUAAUUAAGUUUAAUUUACUUUUCAUCAAAACCAAACACCCAUCCAUUAUUAAAUUAUAUUUUUUAGUUAGUUUUCUUUAUUGUUAGUCUUUUAAUUUAAUUUCCGUCCAUUUCAGUUCCUAGUGUUUAAUUUAAUUGUUUUCAUUAUUUUGAGUCAUUUUAAGUGUGUUUCGAGUUAUUAGAGUUUUUAGCCUAAUUUUGUGUCCUUGAGUCUUAUUUAAUAUUUUUAAAUUAAUUUAGAAUAGAUUAGCAAUCCCUCCUAAUCCCCGGCCUAGAACGAUACCCUACUUACAUCUAUACUACAAUUGUUCAAAAGAGGGUUUAAUUUUGUGUGUUAACUUAUUUUUCACAUCAAAUUUUGGCGCCGUUGCCGGGGAUAUGAGAGAAGCAGCAAAACUGCAAGCUGCACAGAAAAAUAUAAGAGAUGGACAGCGCAGGGAGAGACUGGCGGGGAAGCACAGCAAUACAAAAGAAAAGCUCCAGAGAGCAAGGCAGCAAGAAAAUUAGAGGCUUCACUCCAUUUCUCUCGGUUAAAUCUUUCCAAACUUAUAUUUUAUUUCUGUUUUAAUAAUGUGUAACUAAUUUUAUUUUGGCUAGAGGUUAUUUCAAAACCAUGAAUAUAUUUGUAAUAUGAAUUGAUUACCUUCGGUUGUGAUUUCAUAAGUUGUGAAUUCAAUUUACUUAUCCGUUUGUAUAAAAACUGAUUUGUGUAUGUUGGUUGAGAGUGCACGCUUAAUUUACAUGCAUGAAUUUGAUGCUAGAAUAUAAGUGAAUUUCACCUAAUCGUUAUGAACUUAUAUUCACAAGUAGUAAAGGUUGCUAGUCACAAUCACGUUAAGUAAAUUCUUGGCAUAAGUUUCAUGCAAAUCAUAGUAACGAGUGCCUCGUCAAUGCUUAUGUUUUUCAUAGAACUUAAUGAUUCUUGCUUGUAUCUCUAUUAUGCAAUUCAUGUAGAGAACUUGUAGGGAAUGUUUUGGGUUGUCGUAUGCAAUCAUCCAACCCAAUAACUUGUGGAAAAACUGAGGGUUAAUUAGUGCAAUUCACGGUUAAUUUGGGGCGUUGAGAUUUACAAUUUAUUGAAAGAACAACUGAAAAUCAAUUUAGGUUGCAUAGUGUCAUGUGUGGAGAAAAACCCUCUAGCUAGUCCGUCAUUUAUCAUUUCACCUUAAUUUCAUGUUUUUGUCAAUUCUGUAAUUUAAUUAAGUUUAAUUUACUUUUCAUCAAAACCAAACACCCAUCCAUUAUUAAAUUAUAUUUUUUAGUUAGUUUUCUUUAUUGUUAGUCUUUUAAUUUAAUUUCCGUCCAUUUCAGUUCC
This 2649-nucleotide long non-coding RNA is filed under the name Malus domestica (apple). RNAcentral's name for it is "long non-coding RNA (MDOM_LNC005451)". The record is from RNAcentral. Lineage: Eukaryota; Viridiplantae; Streptophyta; Magnoliopsida; Rosales; Rosaceae.